ACUUUGAAGGGUGUAUCUUGUAUCCCUGGUCCCUUCCUCUCUGUCUCUGCUUCCUGGCUGUCAUGAGAAGGACCUCAGCCUGGAAACGUUGCUGGAGCCCCUGAAGGUGAGCAUCGUAGGCUCAGGGAACUGGGCAUCAGCAGUUUCAAAAAUCAUUGGGAACAAUGUGAAGACCAUGAAGAAGUUUGCUUCCCCAGUCAAGAUGUGGGUAUUUGAAGAAAUAGUCAAUGGGAGGAAACUGACAGACAUCAUCAACAGUGACCACGAAAAUGUAAAGUACCUGCCUGGACACAGGCUGCCCGAGAACGUGAUGGCCACCCCGAGUCUCAGCCAGGCUGUGCAAGAUGCAGACCUGCUGGUGUUUGCUUUCCCACAUCAGUUCAUUCGAACCAUCUGUGACGAGAUUGCUGAAGUAGUGCCCAGGAAGGCCCGAGGCAUCACCCUCAUCAAGGGCAUAGAUGAGGGUCCCGAGAACCUGAAACUUAUCUCUGACAUCAUCCGAGAGAAGGUGAACAUAGACAUCAGCGUGAUGAUGGGGGCCAACUUAGCCAACGAGGUGGCCGAAGAGCAGUUCUGUGAGUCCACCAUUGGCAGCAAGGUGCUGCAGAAUGGCCUUCUCUUCAAAGAGCUGUUUCAGACCCCCAACUUCCAAGUCACUGUGGUAGAGGAUUCAGACACAGUGGAGCUGUGUGGGGCUCUAAAGAACAUUGUCGCCAUGGGGGCCGGCUUCUGUGACAGCUUCUGCGGAGGAAACAGCACCAAGGCUGCUGUCAUCCGCCUGGGCCUCAUAGAGAUGAUUGCUUUUGUCAGGGUUUUCUCCAAGGGCCAGGUGUCCACAGCCACUUUCCUGGAGAGCUGCGGGGUGGCUGACCUUGUCAGUACCUGCUAUGGGGGGCGGAACCGAAAGGUUGCAGAAGCCUUCGCCAGGACUGGAAAAAGCAUUGAGGAGUUGGAGAAGGAGAUGCUGAAGGGACAGAAGCUGCAAGGGCCACACACCUCUGCCCAGGUGUACCACAUCCUCAAGCAGAAGGGGCUGUUGGACAAGUUUCCGCUGUUCACAGUUGUGUAUCAAAUCUGUUUCGAGGGCAGACCAGUCACAGAGCUGAUACCUUGUCUACAGAACCACCCAGAGCACAGGCAAAGGGAACAGGGGGCAGGUACAGCUUUACCUCACCUAUCUCAGGAUCACACGGAAACCAAGACGUGACAAUGAGAUCGUUACCUGGCUUUCUCCCAUCUUGGACACAUAUGAAUUAGUAUGGCUUCAUUUCUGGGUCAUGAGAGAUAGCUCACUGACGGAUAACACUGGGUAACAACUACACAUACACAGUGAAUGUGAGAAAAACAGAGCAAAGGAAAAGAAAAUACAGUUUGAUAGUUGAAUCAGGA
This is an RNA transcript of Grammomys surdaster, 1389 nucleotides long. It is a transcript of the gene named glycerol-3-phosphate dehydrogenase 1-like protein pseudogene, with no coding region annotated. Lineage: Eukaryota; Metazoa; Chordata; Mammalia; Rodentia; Muridae. The transcript is spliced from 2 exons. The record is from RefSeq and is a predicted model, not a curated record.